UGAAAACACUCCAGGAGAGAGGGGUUGCAUAAAUCAAUGCAAACUUGUCCACAGAAGGCAAUUAUACUCUCAGAGUGGACUGUACACCACUUCUUUUCCAGUUGGUAUAUAAACUGACAAAAGAGUGGAGGAAUCAGACAUCAUUCAUCUGGAGAAAUGCUAUUGGUUGCUGAAGGCUCAAUCGCGAACUGGAUGAUUUGAUUUAGAGACAUUUGGCCCAUUGGUUUCACCACCAAUUCGUCCAUCUCUGAGUGAAGGUGGGAAUCCUUCUAUUUUCUACAAAUGUUCUUCGCUAAACACGUGAGCCCUGUUCUACCUUUGGAGCCUUGCGUAUGUCGGUUUACCUUUCUGCACCUGAAUAUUCUCAUAUAUAAACUCAAUUUGACCAAGACAGUUGUUAUGAAACUGCUCCAGUGUGGUGCCUCAGCGUCUGGUGCAGGGGUCAGGGUAAUGGACAUUGAAUAGGCAAAGCUCUAGCUUCCACGCAUGACCCCACCUCUUCCUCAGCUGAGGAGUCUCUACUGUAUUUCUUUUAUAUAGAAGAAGUUUCCACUGCUGUAUCCUUCCCCCACCCUUAAAAAAUUAGGAAACCACUGGACUUGACCAUCUCUAAGGUCCCCACUUAGCUC
Molecule: non-coding RNA, 629 nt
Organism: Vicugna pacos (alpaca)
Lineage: Eukaryota; Metazoa; Chordata; Mammalia; Artiodactyla; Camelidae
Source: RefSeq, a predicted model, not a curated record